This 449-nucleotide ribosomal RNA is filed under the name uncultured bacterium. RNAcentral's name for it is "bacterial SSU rRNA". It matches the Rfam family "Bacterial small subunit ribosomal RNA", at positions 328 to 794 of the family's 1533-position model. The record is from RNAcentral.
ACCCCAGACUCCUACGGGAGGCAGCAGUGGGGGAUAUUGCACAAUGGGGGGAACCCUGAUGCAGCGACGCCGCGUGGGUGAAGAAGCGCCUCGGCGCGUAAAGCCCUGUCAGCAGGGAAGAAAAUGACGGUACCUGAAGAAGAAGCCCCGGCUAACUACGUGCCAGCAGCCGCGGGAAUACGUAGGGGGCAAGCGUUAUCCGGAUUUACUGGGUGUAAAGGGGGCGCAGACGGCGAUGCAAGCCAGGAGUGAAAGCCCGGGGCCCAACCCCGGGACUGCGCUUGGAACUGCGUGGCUGGAGUGCAGGAGGGGCAGGCGGAAUUCCUGGUGUAGCGGUGAAAUGCGUAGAUAUCAGGAGGAACACCGGUGGCGAAGGCGGCCUGCUGGACUGCAACUGACGUUGAGGCCCGAAAGCGUGGGGAGCAAACAGGAUUAGAUACCCGAGUAGC